GUCUAUUGCUGUACCUCCCUGAAUGUGCCCCAUCUCUUCUGACUAUGGAAGCUAAGCCAGGUUGGGUCUGGUUGGUGUGUAGAUGGGAGACCACCUUGGCAUACCAGGUGCUAGAGACU
Ribosomal RNA from Otolemur garnettii (small-eared galago), 119 nucleotides. NCBI's taxonomy places the organism in Eukaryota, Metazoa, Chordata, Mammalia, Primates, Galagidae. The record is from Ensembl.